AUUGAACGCUGGCGGCAGGCUUAACACAUGCAAGUCGAACGAGUGGCGGACGGGUGAGUAAUGCUUGGGAAUCUAGCUUAUGGAGGGGGAUAACUACGGGAAACUGUAGCUAAUACCGCGUACCAUAGGAUGAGCCCAAGUGGGAUUAGGUAUUUGGUGAGGUAAAGGCUCACAAAGCCGACGAUCUCUAGCUGGUCUGAGAGGAUGACCAGCCGAAUUGGGACUUGGAUACGGCCCAGUCUCCUACGGGAGGCAGCAGUGGGGGAUAUUGCACAAUGGGCGAAAGCCUGAUGCAGCGACGCCGCGUGGGGGAUGAAGGCUUUCGGGUUGUAAGCCUCUUUCGCUAUCGAACGGGUAGGUGGAGAAGAAGCGCCGGCUAACUACGGGCCAGCAUCCGCGGUAAUAC
This 406-nucleotide ribosomal RNA is filed under the name uncultured bacterium. Its description in RNAcentral is "partial 16S ribosomal RNA". It matches the Rfam family "Bacterial small subunit ribosomal RNA", at positions 30 to 526 of the family's 1533-position model. The record is from RNAcentral.